This is a long non-coding RNA of Oncorhynchus tshawytscha (Chinook salmon), 1156 nucleotides long. The record is from Ensembl. Lineage: Eukaryota; Metazoa; Chordata; Actinopteri; Salmoniformes; Salmonidae.
AAUACAGACAGCUCCUGGUGUUCAGUCUGAGUAAACGUUCACCGAGAGACUAUCGAGCCCUUGCCAGUAGCUUGGGAUCUAAAGGAGGCGAGUCGACCAACCUCUCAGAUUCCCGUGAGCACUCGGGUGACAUCUGAUUCUCUCAGAAAUUACUUUGUGGGUUUCCGGGAUUCCUCGGAGGCAAGGUGGGAAUCGAGGGCGACAGGGAACAGAUUCCCUCUCCCUGCUUCAUUCUCUUAGCCGCCCAUCGAUCCGGAUGGUCAAGGUUAUGAGGGAGUCGAGGUCCAUGGGCAGCUCCUGGGCUGUGAGCCCAUCUUUGAUCAACUCUGAUAAUCCGUGAACAUGUUUAACAAUGCUUCUGGGUUCCAGGCACUCUCAGCCACCAACGUACAAAAAUCCACUGUGUCGUCUGCCACACUACGGGAGUCUUGACGUAGCUGGAGCAGUUUACGAGCAGCCUCUCACCCGGACAAUGGAGAAUCGAACACCUUCUGUACUUCUGCCACAAACUCCUCCAGACUGAGGCAGACGGUAGACUGUUGCUCCCAUACCGCUGUAGCCCAGGCGAUUGCCCUCCUGGACAUCAGCAUUAUAAGGUACGCUAUCCUCAAGUGGCCCGAGGGGAACGACGAAGGCUGCAGCUCGAAGGUGAGGAAGCACUGGGAGAGAAAGGCCGGCAGUUUCCAGAAUCUUCAGCGUAGCACUCCAGAGUUGGUAAGAGGGUUUCUCGGGACACUGGGGUAGGCUAGGAAGAAGCGCCGCUGGUGGUGGUGUUGCUGAGAGUCUGGGGAGUUACUGGUGUGGCUUGCUGCCUUGAGGGGAAUCCGCGGAAUCGCUCCAGCAAUGUAUUGAACGCAUGGUCAUGUCGUUCUGCCAGGGUAUGGAGUCCUUCCAUAAGGCAUUGCAGUAACUCCUUGUGUCUUCCAAUGGUGGCUCCUUGCUGGAAGACAGCAUUGUGGAGCUGGUCUGAGUCUGCUUGGAUCAGUCAUGGCCAGUUCGUACUAUCACGACUCAGGAUAUGACCCAUAUGCGGACACAGGAGGCGGAUAGUACAGUUCUCAGGCAGAGGUUCGUUAUCAGGUCAGAGUCAGGCAGGUACAGGACGGCAGGCAGGCUCGGGGUCAGGGCAGGCAGAAUGGUCAAAACCUGGAAAACU